Monomorium pharaonis (pharaoh ant) is the source of this 843-nucleotide long non-coding RNA. RefSeq lists it as uncharacterized. The record is from RefSeq and is a predicted model, not a curated record. The transcript is spliced from 2 exons. NCBI's taxonomy places the organism in Eukaryota, Metazoa, Arthropoda, Insecta, Hymenoptera, Formicidae.
UAUAUGUAGAGACGCUGAUGGAUGAAAACACCGCGAUGACCGCUUUCAGGUUCCUCUCUCUGCUAUAACCUACGUGACCUACGCUCGGAUCGAAUACUGCCUAAUCGGCCGAGCAGUGUCGAGUCAGUCAAAUGUAGGUCACGUAGGUCGUAACAGAGCGCGCAACGGCUCACGGAUAGAUGGAGCACGAUGUGCGGUGUGCCUGAGUGUGCUCGGAAUCGCAGCACAAAUUGUGGUCUUCUUUUGCGCGCGAAAUCGAUCAUUCGAUAUGUACUGCUAAUCGAAAUCGAGGGAAGGAAAGAAAGAGAAAGAGAAGGGAAAGAAACGGGGAGAGAGAAAGAGAGAGAGAGAGAGAGAGAGAGAGAGAGAGACGUAUGUACAAUUGUACAAGUCAAAAGUCGAAAGGCGCAAAAGUUGGAAAAUUGUGAUUAUGGUAGUUGCUGAUAAUUUGCUGGACCAGGAUGUGGUUAUUGAUGAUUAAUUGUACACAAAAUUCGUGAUUUUCGUGAAAUCACGGGAGAGAGACAGUAAGUUUUUUCACCGGAUUGUCAUUUCGGAUUUUAAUCCUAGCGAAGAUAAAGAUCUGAGCACAAGUAAAUGCCGGAAGCUGUUCCACAGUCAUAGAGUGGCGACUCACGGCGGGGUGUUCUCAAAAAAUAUUAUGCGCACAUUGUUUUCUCAACGUGACAUUAACUUUAUCGUUACUUCGUGGAUUCGUUAAUUUUCCUCCAUAAAUUGAUGCUAUCUCAGAAUUUUCACACAAACAAUAUCAAAUUCAAUAUCAGAUCGCGAUUGUUGCUGCGUUUGAGGUAACGUGAUACACGAAAAUUUAUCAUCUUAAAA